RNAcentral lists this ribosomal RNA (265 nucleotides) under Giardia duodenalis. RNAcentral's name for it is "Giardia intestinalis partial 18S ribosomal RNA". Lineage: Eukaryota; Fornicata; Diplomonadida; Hexamitidae. The record is from RNAcentral.
AUGCAGUUUCCAGUACCAAGCCAUGCAAGCCCGCGCACCCGGGAGGCGGCGGACGGCUCAGGACAACGGUAGCACCCCCCGCGGCGGUCCCUGCUAGCCGGACACCGCUGGCAACCCGGCGCCAAGACGUGCGCGCAAGGGCGGGCGCCCGCGGGCGAGCAGCGUGACGCAGCGACGGCCCGCCCGGGCUUCCGGGGCAUCACCCGGUCGGCGCGGACGCGGCGCGCCGAGGGCCCGACGCCUGGCGGAGUAUAGGGUUCGACUA